This 377-nucleotide ribosomal RNA is filed under the name uncultured bacterium. Its description in RNAcentral is "bacterial SSU rRNA". It matches the Rfam family "Bacterial small subunit ribosomal RNA", at positions 28 to 404 of the family's 1533-position model. The record is from RNAcentral.
GACGAACGCUGGCGGCGUGCUUAACACAUGCAAGUCGAGCGGUAAGGCCCUUUCGGGGGUACACGAGCGGCGAACGGGUGAGUAACACGUGGGUGACCUGCCCUCAGCUCUGGGAUAAGCCUGGGAAACCGGGUCUAAUACUGGAUAUGACUCCAUGACGCAUGCUGUAGGGGUGGAAAGCCUUGUGCGGCUGAGGACUGGGCCCGCGGCCUAUCAGCUUGUUGGUGGGGGAUGGCCUACCAAGGCGACGACGGGUAGCCGGCCUGAGAGGGCGACCGGCCACACUGGGACUGAGACACGGCCCAGACUCCUACGGGAGGCAGCAAGUGGGGAAUCUUGCGCAAUGGGCGAAAGCCUGACGCAGCGACGCCGCGUGA